Long non-coding RNA from Bactrocera dorsalis (oriental fruit fly), 410 nucleotides. RefSeq lists it as uncharacterized. NCBI's taxonomy places the organism in Eukaryota, Metazoa, Arthropoda, Insecta, Diptera, Tephritidae. The transcript is spliced from 2 exons. The record is from RefSeq and is a predicted model, not a curated record.
UCUAAUAGAAUUAUUAUCGUCGUCGAAAUUCCCAAAGAAGCACAAAAUCCUAAAGCCCAAAUGUUAACAACCUUUGUUCUUAGUGCCCGAGAUACUAUACACGAAGUGUUUCGGCCCAAACCGUUACCACCCGUGAAAGUGCCCUGUCUGACCAUGUCGAACAAGGAGAUGUUCUGCAACUUCGUCUUCUUUAGCGCGGCUAUUUUAGCACCCCUCUACUAUACCGUUUUGCGUGACGCUCUGCGCAAGAUUCGUAAUGUAAAUUAUAAAAUAGUUCGUGUGAGAAAUUAACUUUCGCACCAAUGUCAAAGAAAUCCUUGAUCCGUGAGAGUAAAUGUAAUGUUUGCAAAAAUGUUCAGCAAAUAAUAAAUAAUUGCGCAAAUAAAUUUAAUAUGUAACUGUAAAUUUAA